Molecule: ribosomal RNA, 1333 nt
Filed under: activated sludge metagenome
Description: bacterial LSU rRNA
Rfam family: Bacterial large subunit ribosomal RNA
Source: RNAcentral
GUUGGCUUAGAAGCAGCCAUCCUUUAAAGAAAGCGUAAUAGCUCACUGGUCAAGUUGUCACGCGCCGAAAAUGUAUCGGGGCUAAACAUAGUACCGAAGCCGCGAACUCCAACAUUGUUGGAGUGGUAGGGGAGCGUUCCAUACACGCUGAAGCUGGACUCGCGAGAGCCAGUGGAGAGUAUGGAAGUGAGAAUGUAGGCAUGAGUAGCAAUAAGAGAUGUGAGAACCAUCUCCACCGUAAACCCAAGGUUUCCUGGUCUACGAAAAUCGGACCAGGGUUAGUCGGUCCUAAGACGAGGCCGAAAGGCGUAGCCGAUGGACAGCUGGUUAAUAUUCCAGCACCACUGUAAAAUUUCGAUGGGGUGACGGAUCUGUGUAGAUCGUGUGGUAUUUUGGUUAUGACCAUGGUUUGGGAGUAGCGUGUCUUUCAGGCAAAUCCGAGAGACAUUAAGCGUGAAACUCGACCCUAGAGAAAGUCCUACGGGAUGGACUCAUGACGAUUGAAUCAGGUUCCCAGAAAAGCCUCUAGAGCCAAUUUUAUAGUGCCCGUACCGUAAACCGACACAGGUGGGUGGGCGUAAGUAUGCCCAGGUGUACGAGAGACCCUUUGCUAAGGAACUCGGCAAAAUAAUAGCCGUAACUUCGGGAUAAGGCUUGGUUCUGGGAGUUGAUCCCAGGACUCGCAGCGAAUGGUGCCCAGUGACUGUUUACCAAAAACACAGCUCCCUGCUAAAGCGCAAGCUGACGUAUAGGGGGUGAUGCCUGGCCAGUGUCCGAACGUUAAGGGGAGGAGUGCAAGCUCUGAACUGAAGCGCGGAUGAACGCCGGCGGUAACUAUAACCGUCCUAAGGUAGCGAAAUUCCUUGUCGGGCAAGUUCCGACCUGCACGAAUGGCAUAACAAUUGGGCGACUGUCUCGGCAAAGGUCUCGGCGAAAUUCCAUGAUGAGUGAAGAUGCUCAUUACCUGCAGUUGGACGAAAAGACCCCGUGAAGCUUUACUACAGCUUGGUAUUGGGUUAGAAGUACUUAUGUUCAGUAUAGGUGGGAGCCUUCGGGCAACAGUGAGAUACCACCCUUAAUUAUUUUUAAUUCUAACUUCAUUCCGUGAAUCCGGAAAAAGGACAGUGCCUGGUAGGUAGUUUGACUGGGGCGGUCGCCUCCCAAAAUGUAACGGAGGCGUUUACUAAGGUUGGCUAGUUCCCGAUGGAAAUGGGAAUGGUCGUGCAAACGCAUAAGCCAGCUUUACUGCAAGACUUACUAGUCGAGCAGUUGCGAAAGCAGAACUUAGUGAUCCGACCAUUCAAUGUAGGAUGGUGGAAGCUCAUCGGAUAAA